RNAcentral lists this ribosomal RNA (497 nucleotides) under uncultured bacterium. RNAcentral describes it as "partial 16S ribosomal RNA". It matches the Rfam family "Bacterial small subunit ribosomal RNA", at positions 28 to 507 of the family's 1533-position model. The record is from RNAcentral.
GACGAACGCUGGCGGCGUGCCUAAUACAUGCAAGUUGAGCGCCGAAGGAUGAUACUUGUACCAACUGGAUGAGCAGCUAACGGGUGAGUAACGCGUGGGGAAUCUGCCUUUGAGCGGGGGGCAACAUUUGGAAACGAAUGCUAAUAACACAUAAAAACUUUAAACACAAGAUUUAAGUUUGAAAGAUGCAAUUGCAGCACUCAAAGAUGAUCCCGCGUUGGAUUAGCUAGCUGGUGAGGUAAAGGCCCACCAAGGCGAUGAUACAUAGCCGACCUGAGAGGGUGAUCGGCCACAAUGGGACUGAGACACGGCCCAAACUCCUACGGGAGGCAGCAGUAGGGAAUCUUCGGCAAUGGACGAAAGUCUGACCGAGCAACGACGCGUGAGUGAAGAAGGUUUUCGGAUCGUAAAACUCUGUUGGUAGAGAAGAACGUUGGUGAGAGUGGAAAGCUCAUCAAGUGACGGUAACUACCCAGAAAGGGACGGCUAACUACGUG